Caenorhabditis brenneri is the source of this 73-nucleotide non-coding RNA. NCBI's taxonomy places the organism in Eukaryota, Metazoa, Nematoda, Chromadorea, Rhabditida, Rhabditidae. The record is from Rfam.
GACCUCAUGGCCUAGUGGCUAACGCUGUCAUUUUUUAAUUUUGAGGUCGUGGGUUCAACCCCCACCGGGGUCA